RNAcentral lists this ribosomal RNA (1338 nucleotides) under Staphylococcus pseudintermedius. RNAcentral's name for it is "bacterial SSU rRNA". It matches the Rfam family "Bacterial small subunit ribosomal RNA", at positions 199 to 1523 of the family's 1533-position model. The record is from RNAcentral. Lineage: Bacteria; Bacillati; Bacillota; Bacilli; Caryophanales; Staphylococcaceae.
AGUGAAAGACGGUCUUGCUGUCACUUAUAGAUGGACCCGCGCCGUAUUAGCUAGUUGGUGGGGUAACGGCCUACCAAGGCGACGAUACGUAGCCGACCUGAGAGGGUGAUCGGCCACACUGGAACUGAGACACGGUCCAGACUCCUACGGGAGGCAGCAGUAGGGAAUCUUCCGCAAUGGGCGAAAGCCUGACGGAGCAACGCCGCGUGAGUGAUGAAGGUCUUCGGAUCGUAAAGCUCUGUUGUUAGGGAAGAACAAAUGUGUAAGUAACUGUGCACAUCUUGACGGUACCUAACCAGAAAGCCACGGCUAACUACGUGCCAGCAGCCGCGGUAAUACGUAGGUGGCAAGCGUUAUCCGGAAUUAUUGGGCGUAAAGCGCGCGUAGGCGGUUUUUUAAGUCUGAUGUGAAAGCCCACGGCUCAACCGUGGAGGGUCAUUGGAAACUGGAAAACUUGAGUGCAGAAGAGGAAAGUGGAAUUCCAUGUGUAGCGGUGAAAUGCGCAGAGAUAUGGAGGAACACCAGUGGCGAAGGCGGCUUUCUGGUCUGCAACUGACGCUGAUGUGCGAAAGCGUGGGGAUCAAACAGGAUUAGAUACCCUGGUAGUCCACGCCGUAAACGAUGAGUGCUAAGUGUUAGGGGGUUUCCGCCCCUUAGUGCUGCAGCUAACGCAUUAAGCACUCCGCCUGGGGAGUACGGUCGCAAGACUGAAACUCAAAGGAAUUGACGGGGACCCGCACAAGCGGUGGAGCAUGUGGUUUAAUUCGAAGCAACGCGAAGAACCUUACCAAAUCUUGACAUCCUUUGACCGCUCUAGAGAUAGAGUUUUCCUCUUCGGAGGACAAAGUGACAGGUGGUGCAUGGUUGUCGUCAGCUCGUGUCGUGAGAUGUUGGGUUAAGUCCCGCAACGAGCGCAACCCUUGAACUUAGUUGCCAUCAUUCAGUUGGGCACUCUAAGUUGACUGCCGGUGACAAACCGGAGGAAGGUGGGGAUGACGUCAAAUCAUCAUGCCCCUUAUGAUUUGGGCUACACACGUGCUACAAUGGACAAUACAAAGGGCAGCGAAACCGCGAGGUCAAGCAAAUCCCAUAAAGUUGUUCUCAGUUCGGAUUGUAGUCUGCAACUCGACUACAUGAAGCUGGAAUCGCUAGUAAUCGUAGAUCAGCAUGCUACGGUGAAUACGUUCCCGGGUCUUGUACACACCGCCCGUCACACCACGAGAGUUUGUAACACCCGAAGCCGGUGGAGUAACCAUUUUGGAGCUAGCCGUCGAAGGUGGGACAAAUGAUUGGGGUGAAGUCGUAACAAGGUAGCCGUAUCGGAAGGUGCGGCUGGAU